This 253-nucleotide ribosomal RNA is filed under the name Anaerotignum lactatifermentans. RNAcentral's name for it is "partial 16S ribosomal RNA". It matches the Rfam family "Bacterial small subunit ribosomal RNA", at positions 524 to 776 of the family's 1533-position model. The record is from RNAcentral. Lineage: Bacteria; Bacillati; Bacillota; Clostridia; Lachnospirales; Anaerotignaceae.
UACGUAGGGGGCAAGCGUUAUCCGGAAUUACUGGGUGUAAAGGGAGAGUAGGCGGCGAAGUAAGUAAGAUGUGAAAGCCCUCGGCUUAACUGAGGGAUUGCAUUUUAAACUAUUUUGCUAGAGUGCAGGAGAGGAAAGCGGAAUUCCUAGUGUAGCGGUGAAAUGCGUAGAUAUUAGGAAGAACACCAGUGGCGAAGGCGGCUUUCUGGACUGUAACUGACGCUGAGGCUCGAAAGCGUGGGGAGCAAACAGG